UACGUAGGGUGCGAGCGUUAAUCGGAAUUACUGGGCGUAAAGCGUGCGCAGGCGGUUUUGUAAGUCAGAUGUGAAAUCCCCGAGCUCAACUUGGGAACUGCGUUUGAAACUACAAGACUAGAAUAUGUCAGAGGGGGGUAGAAUUCCACGUGUAGCAGUGAAAUGCGUAGAGAUGUGGAGGAAUACCAAUGGCGAAGGCAGCCCCCUGGGAUAAUAUUGACGCUCAUGCACGAAAGCGUGGGGAGCAAGCAGG
RNAcentral lists this ribosomal RNA (253 nucleotides) under uncultured bacterium. Its description in RNAcentral is "partial 16S ribosomal RNA". It matches the Rfam family "Bacterial small subunit ribosomal RNA", at positions 524 to 776 of the family's 1533-position model. The record is from RNAcentral.